AUGCACGCUGGCGGCGUGCCUAAUCCAUGCAAGUCGAGCGAACAGACGAGGAGCUUGCUCCUCUGACGUUAGCGGCGGACGGGUGAGUAACACGUGGAUAACCUACCUAUAAGACUGGGAUAACUUCGGGAAACCGGAGCUAAUACCGGAUAAUAUAUUGAACCGCAUGGUUCAAUAGUGAAAGACGGUUUUGCUGUCACUUAUAGAUGGAUCCGCGCCGCAUUAGCUAGUUGGUAAGGUAACGGCUUACCAAGGCGACGAUGCGUAGCCGACCUGAGAGGGUGAUCGGCCACACUGGAACUGAGACACGGUCCAGACUCCUACGGGAGGCAGCAGUAGGGAAUCUUCCGCAAUGGGCGAAAGCUUGACGGAGCAACGCCGCGUGAGUGAUGAAGGUCUUCGGAUCGUAAAACUCUGUUAUUAGGGAAGAACAAAUGUGUAAGUAACUAUGCACGUCUUGACGGUACCUAAUCAGAAAGCCACGGCUAACUACGUG
Molecule: ribosomal RNA, 496 nt
Filed under: uncultured bacterium
Lineage: Bacteria
Description: partial 16S ribosomal RNA
Rfam family: Bacterial small subunit ribosomal RNA
Source: RNAcentral